This 292-nucleotide ribosomal RNA is filed under the name uncultured bacterium. RNAcentral's name for it is "partial 16S ribosomal RNA". It matches the Rfam family "Bacterial small subunit ribosomal RNA", at positions 505 to 796 of the family's 1533-position model. The record is from RNAcentral.
GUGCCAGCAGCCGCGGUAAUACGGAGGAUGCGAGCGUUAUCCGGAUUUAUUGGGUUUAAAGGGUGCGUAGGCGGACCGAUAAGUCAGUGGUGAAAACCUGCAGCUUAACUGUAGACGUGCCAUUGAUACUGUCGGACUUGAGUGUGGUCAAGGUAGGCGGAAUGUGUAAUGUAGCGGUGAAAUGCUUAGAUAUUACACAGAACACCGAUUGCGAAGGCAGCUUGCUGGACCAUUACUGACGCUGAUGCACGAAAGCGUGGGGAGCGAACAGGAUUAGAUACCCCCGUAGUCC